RNAcentral lists this ribosomal RNA (1346 nucleotides) under Escherichia coli. Its description in RNAcentral is "partial 23S ribosomal RNA". It matches the Rfam family "Bacterial large subunit ribosomal RNA", at positions 1 to 1386 of the family's 2925-position model. The record is from RNAcentral. Lineage: Bacteria; Pseudomonadati; Pseudomonadota; Gammaproteobacteria; Enterobacterales; Enterobacteriaceae.
GGUUAAGCGACUAAGCGUACACGGUGGAUGCCCUGGCAGUCAGAGGCGAUGAAGGACGUGCUAAUCUGCGAUAAGCGUCGGUAAGGUGAUAUGAACCGUUAUAACCGGCGAUUUCCGAAUGGGGAAACCCAGUGUGAUUCGUCACACUAUCAUUAACUGAAUCCAUAGGUUAAUGAGGCGAACCGGGGGAACUGAAACAUCUAAGUACCCCGAGGAAAAGAAAUCAACCGAGAUUCCCCCAGUAGCGGCGAGCGAACGGGGAGCAGCCCAGAGCCUGAAUCAGUGUGUGUGUUAGUGGAAGCGUCUGGAAAGGCGUGCGAUACAGGGUGACAGCCCCGUACACAAAAAUGCACAUGCUGUGAGCUCGAUGAGUAGGGCGGGACACGUGGUAUCCUGUCUGAAUAUGGGGGGACCAUCCUCCAAGGCUAAAUACUCCUGACUGACCGAUAGUGAACCAGUACCGUGAGGGAAAGGCGAAAAGAACCCCGGCGAGGGGAGUGAAAAAGAACCUGAAACCGUGUACGUACAAGCAGUGGGAGCACGCUUAGGCGUGUGACUGCGUACCUUUUGUAUAAUGGGUCAGCGACUUAUAUUCUGUAGCAAGGUUAACCGAAUAGGGGAGCCGAAGGGAAACCGAGUCUUAACUGGGCGUUAAGUUGCAGGGUAUAGACCCGAAACCCGGUGAUCUAGCCAUGGGCAGGUUGAAGGUUGGGUAACACUAACUGGAGGACCGAACCGACUAAUGUUGAAAAAUUAGCGGAUGACUUGUGGCUGGGGGUGAAAGGCCAAUCAAACCGGGAGAUAGCUGGUUCUCCCCGAAAGCUAUUUAGGUAGCGCCUCGUGAAUUCAUCUCCGGGGGUAGAGCACUGUUUCGGCAAGGGGGUCAUCCCGACUUACCAACCCGAUGCAAACUGCGAAUACCGGAGAAUGUUAUCACGGGAGACACACGGCGGGUGCUAACGUCCGUCGUGAAGAGGGAAACAACCCAGACCGCCAGCUAAGGUCCCAAAGUCAUGGUUAAGUGGGAAACGAUGUGGGAAGGCCCAGACAGCCAGGAUGUUGGCUUAGAAGCAGCCAUCAUUUAAAGAAAGCGUAAUAGCUCACUGGUCGAGUCGGCCUGCGCGGAAGAUGUAACGGGGCUAAACCAUGCACCGAAGCUGCGGCAGCGACGCUGAUGCGUUGUUGGGUAGGGGAGCGUUCUGUAAGCCUGCGAAGGUGUGCUGUGAGGCAUGCUGGAGGUAUCAGAAGUGCGAAUGCUGACAUAAGUAACGAUAAAGCGGGUGAAAAGCCCGCUCGCCGGAAGACCAAGGGUUCCUGUCCAACGUUAAUCGGGGCAGGGUGAGUCG